GGAUAGAUGGCACCCACUAGAAGGAAUGUUGCACUCUAGAAUGGUUGUAGCCAUUACUGUUUGGGACAAUUGGCAUUAUUGCUACCUAGGGUAGCCAUAGUGACUUGAGUGAUCUAGUGUGUGUGGACUAGAAUGAUGAGUGACCUUUCAUGUAUUUAUUUAUUUAUUUUAUGAUGUAUCUAAUAUUAAUGGAUGUAAAGAGCUUUACCUAUUACAUAGAUAGUGGUGUCCCUUUAUUCUCCUCCUUAAAAAUAGGGGUAGCGGUUGCGCAUGUAAGCUUAUAAUAAGUUUAACUAACUGUAAGAUAAUAAGAUUG
Molecule: long non-coding RNA, 316 nt
Filed under: Carica papaya (papaya)
Lineage: Eukaryota; Viridiplantae; Streptophyta; Magnoliopsida; Brassicales; Caricaceae
Description: long non-coding RNA (CPAP_LNC009477)
Source: RNAcentral